RNAcentral lists this ribosomal RNA (250 nucleotides) under uncultured bacterium. RNAcentral's name for it is "partial 16S ribosomal RNA". It matches the Rfam family "Bacterial small subunit ribosomal RNA", at positions 28 to 278 of the family's 1533-position model. The record is from RNAcentral.
GAUGAACGCUAGCGGGAGGCCUAACACAUGCAAGCCGAGCGGUAUUUGGUAGCUUGCUACUAGAGAGAGCGGCGUACGGGUGCGGAACAUGUGUGUAACCUACCCUUAUCAAGGGGAUAGCCCGGAGAAAUUCGGAUUAAUACCCUAUAAUAUAUUGGAUGGCAUCAUUUAAUAUUGAAAGUUACGACGGAUAAGGAUGGGCACGCACAAGAUUAGCUAGUUGGUGAGGUAACGGCUCACCAAGGCGAUG